UACGAAGGGGGCUAGCGUUGCUCGGAAUCACUGGGCGUAAAGCGCACGUAGGCGGGUUCUUAAGUCGGUGGUGAAAUCCUGGAGCUCAACUCCAGAACUGCCUCCGAUACUGAGAAUCUUGGAGUCCGGGAGAGGUGAGUGGAACUGCGAGUGUAGAGGUGAAAUUCGUAGAUAUUCGCAAGAACACCAGUGGCGAAGGCGGCUCACUGGCCCGGUACUGACGCUGAGGUGCGAAAGCGUGGGGA
This 245-nucleotide ribosomal RNA is filed under the name uncultured bacterium. RNAcentral's name for it is "partial 16S ribosomal RNA". It matches the Rfam family "Bacterial small subunit ribosomal RNA", at positions 524 to 767 of the family's 1533-position model. The record is from RNAcentral.